GGGAAACCGGCACCUAUAGCCUCCUGGGAGAGCCUCCAGGUCCCUUCUUGAAGGGCCCUCUCCUGACCUGGGAUGUCCUCCAGGUGCCCUAGAAACUCCACCUCUGGGACAUUCAAGGCACCCACAGGUCACUUGGCCUUUUCCUCACCUGGUAGCUCUGGCUGUGGGCCCUGGGGUCCUGGAGCCCCCCCCCCAAUGCACCCUCAGUGCUCCCCAGUGGACAAGCAGGCCACCGUCCCCUCCACAAGGGUGGCCUCCAAGCCUCACCCUGCCAGGGACGCCUCGGGGGCUUCUACCUGUGAAGGGCUCGUUCCAGGUCCCGCUCCCCUGAGGCUGCGUCUGCUGCCCCCGAUCCAUGGAGGCCUACAGGCAGAGGGGGUGUGGCUAGCUGGCCGUGUGGCCACACGUCCUCUCUCCCCACUGCACACGGGUGGACCGGUGCCUCAGUGGGACACGGACAGGUCCUGGGCUCUGAGCCAGUGUUUUAAACAUAGAGAUUUUUACUCCUUUGAAAGGUGCAGGGUCCACGAACCACACAGCAGCCAAGGAGAGUCCACUGGCCGGCAUCACAGCGUGUCCUACGCGCGUUCACGAUGUGAGUCAGCUGGCGCCAGCUGACAGUUGUGCAGAAAUUGCAAAUGCUUUAGAACGCAUCUCAAGCUGGGAGUGUCUCUAAGUGUGGGUGCACUGUCUUGGAGCAGGGUGGAGCCCGACCGCACUUAGCCUUGACGGGAUGAGCGCGCUCUUAGUGGUGGGCUUUGUCUGGUAAUGUGAGCCCAGGCUACUGAUG
RNAcentral lists this long non-coding RNA (790 nucleotides) under Marmota monax (woodchuck). Lineage: Eukaryota; Metazoa; Chordata; Mammalia; Rodentia; Sciuridae. The record is from RNAcentral.